This 454-nucleotide ribosomal RNA is filed under the name Shewanella putrefaciens. RNAcentral describes it as "bacterial SSU rRNA". It matches the Rfam family "Bacterial small subunit ribosomal RNA", at positions 341 to 787 of the family's 1533-position model. Lineage: Bacteria; Pseudomonadati; Pseudomonadota; Gammaproteobacteria; Alteromonadales; Shewanellaceae. The record is from RNAcentral.
ACGGGAGGCAGCAGUGGGGAAUAUUGCACAAUGGGGGAAACCCUGAUGCAGCCAUGCCGCGUGUGUGAAGAAGGCCUUCGGGUUGUAAAGCACUUUCAGUAGGGAGGAAAGGGUGUAGUUUAAUACGCUAUAUCUGUGACGUUACCUACAGAAGAAGGACCGGCUAACUCCGUGCCAGCAGCCGCGGUAAUACGGAGGGUCCGAGCGUUAAUCGGAAUUACUGGGCGUAAAGCGUGCGCAGGCGGUUUGUUAAGCGAGAUGUGAAAGCCCUGGGCUCAACCUAGGAAUAGCAUUUCGAACUGGCGAACUAGAGUCUUGUAGAGGGGGGUAGAAUUCCAGGUGUAGCGGUGAAAUGCGUAGAGAUCUGGAGGAAUACCGGUGGCGAAGGCGGCCCCCUGGACAAAGACUGACGCUCAUGCACGAAAGCGUGGGGAGCAAACAGGAUUAGAUACCC